RNAcentral lists this ribosomal RNA (301 nucleotides) under uncultured bacterium. RNAcentral's name for it is "partial 16S ribosomal RNA". It matches the Rfam family "Bacterial small subunit ribosomal RNA", at positions 509 to 807 of the family's 1533-position model. The record is from RNAcentral.
CAGUCGCCGCGGUAAUACGGAGGGGGCUAGCGUUGUUCGGAAUUACUGGGCGUAAAGCGCACGUAGGCGGCUUGGUAAGUUAGAGGUGAAAGCCUGGAGCUCAACUCCAGAAUUGCCUUUAAGACUGCCGAGCUAGCAGGUGAGAGAGGUAAGUGGAAUUCCGAGUGUAGAGGUGAAAUUCGUAGAUAUUCGGAAGAACACCAGUAGCGAAGGCGGCUUACUGGCUCAUACUGGACGCUGAGGUGCGAAAGCGUGGGGAGCAAACAGGAUUAGAUACCCCGGUAGUCCCUGUCUCUUAUAC